UACAGAGGGUGCAAGCGUUAUUCGGAAUCAUUGGGCGUAAAGGGCGCGUAGGCGGCCAUGCAAGUCGAAUGUGAAAGCCCAGGGCUCAACCUUGGAAGUGCAUCCGAAACUGCACGGCUAGAAUCUCGGAGAGGGUGGUGGAAUUCCCAGUGUAGAGGUGAAAUUCGUAGAUAUUGGGAGGAACACCGGUGGCGAAGGCGACCACCUGGACGAAGAUUGACGCUGAGGCGCGAAAGCGUGGGGAGCAAACAGG
This 253-nucleotide ribosomal RNA is filed under the name uncultured bacterium. Its description in RNAcentral is "partial 16S ribosomal RNA". It matches the Rfam family "Bacterial small subunit ribosomal RNA", at positions 524 to 776 of the family's 1533-position model. The record is from RNAcentral.